UGACUAGAACCAUACUCAGC
RNAcentral lists this microRNA (20 nucleotides) under Brugia malayi. Lineage: Eukaryota; Metazoa; Nematoda; Chromadorea; Rhabditida; Onchocercidae. The record is from RNAcentral.